Molecule: long non-coding RNA, 1058 nt
Filed under: Malus domestica (apple)
Lineage: Eukaryota; Viridiplantae; Streptophyta; Magnoliopsida; Rosales; Rosaceae
Description: long non-coding RNA (MDOM_LNC015278)
Source: RNAcentral
AUUUAUUUAACGCGAUCGUUUAUAAGCGACCUCCACUACUUGUGAAUAAAAGUUUGUAACUAUUAGGUGAAACUCCCUUAUACUCUAACAUCAUAUUCAUGCAUGCAAACUAAGUGUGCACUCUUAAUAAACAUACACGAAUAAGUUAGCAAUCAAGCAGUUAAACAAAUUGAAUUCACAACUUAUGAAAUCAAAACUGAAGGUAAUCAAAUCAUAUUGCAAGCAUGAACAUGGUUUCGAAUUCCCCCCUAGCUAAGGGGGGUUAGUUCCUCAUACUCACAAAGCAAAGAUAAACAAAUUUAGACAUUGAAACCAAAAGAAUGAAAACACCUAAAAACGCUCCAACAAUCCAACUUGAAUGGCAAACACGUCCAAGGGUCCUCCUUCUUCUCUUUGUUGCGGUACAAAGUGUGGUUUGAUGGAUGAGUGGUAAAUUAUGGUGGUGGAUGGAUAUAGGUGAGUUAUGGUGAAGGGUGGAUGGGUGGAUUAUGUUCUCUCUGGUUUUCUUCCCCCUUGUUAUGGUGAAAGGUGGAUGUAUUUAUAGGCUAGGGAGAGGACCACCAUCUAAUUAAGGUGGUAGUGAUGAGUGUUGUGGUAAUGAUGUUUGAUAAUGAGUGGAUGUAAUGGGUGUAGUGGAUGGAUGUUUGGUAAUGAGUGGAUGUAAUAGGUGUAGUGGAUGAGUGUUUGGUAAUGAGUGGAUGUAAUGGGUGUAGUGGAUGAGUGUUUGUAGUUGUAGGUCAACACACUUGCACACAUACAUGCUGAUUUCUAGCAUUCUAAUCUUCAAAAACGUCUAUCCUCAUGUCUCCAUGCUUGCACUAUCCAAUCUUGGCCCAAAAAUGCUCCAAAGUGCUCCAAAUAACACUUUGUUGCCAACUUUGUUAGUUGAACCUACAAACACACGAAAAUAGCUUAAAGUACUAAAAUAACUAGAAUUAAACUAAGUAAAUGCCAAGAAACAAGCUCACUAAGUUGCAUAAAUAUGCUCUUAUCAAAUUUCCCCACACUUAGCUUUUGCUAGUCCUCGAGCAAAACAAAAGAAACAAAACGAAACAAAA